This 253-nucleotide ribosomal RNA is filed under the name uncultured bacterium. RNAcentral describes it as "partial 16S ribosomal RNA". It matches the Rfam family "Bacterial small subunit ribosomal RNA", at positions 524 to 776 of the family's 1533-position model. The record is from RNAcentral.
UACAGAGGGGGCAAGCGUUGUUCGGAAUUACUGGGCGUAAAGCGCGUGUAGGCGGCCCUGUAAGUCGGGUGUGAAAUCCCACGGCUCAACCGUGGAAGUGCACUCGAAACUACAGGGCUAGAGUCCUGGAGAGGAAGGUGGAAUGCUUGGUGUAGAGGUGAAAUUCGUAGAUAUCAAGCGGAACACCGGUGGCGAAGGCGGCCUUCUGGACAGUGACUGACGCUGAGACGCGAAAGCGUGGGGAGCAAACAGG